Melanotaenia boesemani (Boeseman's rainbowfish) is the source of this 1907-nucleotide long non-coding RNA. RefSeq lists it as uncharacterized. The record is from RefSeq and is a predicted model, not a curated record. The transcript has 8 exons. NCBI's taxonomy places the organism in Eukaryota, Metazoa, Chordata, Actinopteri, Atheriniformes, Melanotaeniidae.
CGUGCAGGAUCGGGAUGAUUGACAGGUCGCCAUCUUUCCUGUUAGUGGUGAGAUAAAAGGAAAACGGCGUCAUGGCCUCAGGAAGAAGUUACCGUAGCGGUUCAGAAAAACUGAGGAAGAGAGACAGUCAGAGGUGUAGCAGCAGAAGGAAGGCUCCUUCUUCGCCUCUGGUUCCUGCAACAAGAGGGGGACACUCUCCUCCACCUUUAACUCCAGGGCCUGUCUUUGGGUGGAUCCUGCUGGACUAUCCAGCUCCUGUGGUCGCGGCCUCCUGGCUGCCCUCCAGAGAGCUGUUUCCUGUCUGCGCCGCCUCCCAGCCUGACUAAACUAAAUAUUUUAAUAUCGGAGCUGCUUUCAAAGUGAUUUUCCAAACACAUGAAGUUUCUGGACAAAGUAUCAGACCGGUAUCAGAUCGGUAUCAGACCGGUAUCAGAUCGGUAUCAGACUGGUAUCAGACUGGUAUCAGACCGGUAUCAGACCGGUAUCAGACCGGUAUCAGACCGGUAUCAGAUCGGUAUCGCUGAUACUGGCUUGUAUUUUACUUGGUAUCGGAUCAGAAAGAAAGCGAGUGGCAUCGUACAUCACUACUCCAGUACUCCUGCUGGCAGCACGCGGUGUGACGGAAACCUACGAGCCUGCGUGCUCUAGUCUGGAGCUGCUCUUAAAGGGCCAGCGUCACUAAAAUACCCCACACAGUUAUCACAAUACCAGCUUUACAAGCAGAACGAAUGUGAACAGUUUACCAAACCAAGACUUGGUGGUUCACAUGUUGCAGCUGCAGAGCCGAAUGUCGCCAUGGCCAGGAAAGUGUCUCAGAAACAAGUCAUGGAAGGUGGAGAUUACUGGUUCUCCGGUCAGCACUGCAUCUCAGCUCUAGACCCCCAAACUCCCUUGGUGUUCCUCCGUUUGAUCGGGAGAGGAUGGAGCACAUCUGGCGGGUCCAGAAGAAGCAUGUGAAGAGCAUCCAAGAUCCACCAGGUGUUGCUCUCUGCACUAAAACUGGGAGCUGACCAAGGGAGGUGUGUGUCUGCCGGUGUUUAGGUGAACCAGAGGCUCAACUUCCUUGGAGUCUUUUCAUCUGCAGCUAAACCGCUUCAUAGCAGGGAGCAGUGCCAACAGCCUGAAUGUUCAGGUUUACCUGUUGGAAGGGCUACACAGGUGGAACCAGGACCAGGUGUUGCUGCCAUGGCAACUGAGAAGUCUCCUUUGUGCUGCUACUCCGGUGAUUUGCUGCAUUCUGUCAACCAAACCUACAAGAAGCUGUUUGGCAGAAAGGUGGCGCCAGAGUUCUGUCCGUCCUCAUGUUACACAGGCGAACUCGUAGGAGUUCAGUAUCUGUUCCAGCAGACUGGUCAGGAGCUGCAGGACAUGAACCCUGACUCAGAGGAGACCGCCCGGUUGGUUGAGGAGCACGAUGUGGUGCUUGAUGAGGAAGAUGAGGGCUUUUCUGACCUCACAGACGAGCCACAGUGCUGGAUAUGGAGGUUCAACCUGCUCCCAGCACCUCCUCCACGCUGGCCUCUGGCAUAUCUGAGGCUGGAGAUUCCUCACAUGAAACUGUGUCAGUAACAGUUAUUUGCUGCUGUUUUCUACAUACUGUAUGUUCACGCAUGUUAUUGAAACUAAAGGUUUUAAACAGUAAUUUUCUGUUUUCUGCUUCAUAACAUUGGCAGGCUGUUGAUGAGCAGAAUGUGGCUGGAUACCAGCAUGUGGAGGAGAAAGAUCCUAAACAGAAUUUAGGGAACUUGCUCGUCAAUAAUUGUAAAUAGUUCUGAUUGUUUGAGUGUUUAUUGUAAAUAUUGGUCUAGUUUGGUAUAGUUUAAUUAUUGUUUAACAGUGUUUAUUGAAAAACAUGUUUGUCGUUGUUCUUAAUGACAGUGAACAUUAAACAGUGAGUGUGAAAUGAU